This 467-nucleotide ribosomal RNA is filed under the name uncultured bacterium. Its description in RNAcentral is "partial 16S ribosomal RNA". It matches the Rfam family "Bacterial small subunit ribosomal RNA", at positions 28 to 507 of the family's 1533-position model. The record is from RNAcentral.
GAUGAACGCUGGCGGCGCGCCUAACACAUGCAAGUCGAACGAUUAAAGCACCUUCGGGUGUGUAUAAAGUGGCGAACGGCUGAGUAACACGUGGGCAACCUGCCCCUUUCAUUGGGAUAGCCACGGGAAACCGUGGAUAAUACCGAAUACUUCGAGGCUUCCGCAUGGAAGACUCGAGAAAGCUCCGGCGGAGAGGGAUGGGCCCGCGGCCUGUUAGCUUGUUGGUGGGGUAACGGCCUACCAAGGCAAUGAUGGGUAGCUGGGUUGAGAGACCGACCAGCCAGAUUGGGACUGAGACACGGCCCAGACUCCUACGGGAGGCAGCAGUGGGGAAUCUUGCACAAUGGGCGAAAGCCUGAUGCAGCGACGCCGCGUGCGGGAUGAAGGCCUUCGGGUUGUAAACCGCUUUCAGCAGGGACGAGGCGAAAGUGACGGUACCUGCAGAAGAAGCCCCGGCUAACUACGCG